GCCCGGGAGCGUAGGUGUGCGCAUGCGCCCUUCGGUCCGCGUGAGACCCUGGCCCGGUCCCAGGGGCGUCAGGGCGGAGUGAGCAGAGGGUUUCUGCAGCUUGGCCUGACCCGUAAGUCCUCAUCUGUGCCUUUUAAAAUGCCGUUGGUAGUCUGCUAAAUUUUUAUAUCCCCAGUUCCAGUCUCGUACGUCUACCACGGCCUUUUGAGCCCAACACGUCUUAAACAGACUUGCUUCUCCGUGGUUCUCAGUGACCAAAACAGCUGGACGGAGCGAAACCUGGCGGCCCUCCUGCCGCGACAGCGACACUGACCGGGCCGCGACUCACGGCCGUGCCCGGCCCUGGAACUUCUGCACCCCCGUCCUAAAUGAUGGUCUCCCCGUUUCCAAGCCCUCCUCACAAAUCCUUUAUCCACACACCUGCUGCAACGAACUUUUAAAGACAGUUGGCUAAAUUCACUCUUGCUUCAAGCCCUCCGGUAGGUCCCCGUCACAACACCCAUCGAGACUGAACUUUAUUGUGUCUUCCAAGGCCUGGUGUGAUCUGCUUUUCUCGACACGUUUAUCCACCACAGAUUGUAUUCUCCAAAAAUGGCUGCAGUAAUAGCUCCUAUCCCGCCUCGGGCUUGAAGAAUCUUGCCAGUUCCACAUCAAGAGACAGAGUCUAAUUCCACUCCCCUUCCAUCUGGGUGGAUUGGUUGACUCACUUGUAACUCAUGGAAUGUGCUGAAAGUGAUGCUGUGGCUUCUUAGCUAGCUCAUAAAAUGUAAUCCAACAGCAUCCUUGUUAGCCUUGGAGACCUGAGCCCCUGGAAGGAAGUCUGGGUGCCCCGACGCUGCCGUGCUGUGAAGAAGCCCAAACUAGACCACAUGGAAAGACCAUAAAACGAUGUGAAGGGGCGGGGGAGGGAGAUGCCCCAGCUGCUCCAGUUCCCACUUUACCACAUCCAGCCAUAGUCUGACUGCAGCAGCAGGAGAAACCACUGCCCGCCACACAGUCUCACCCAGCCAAGCCCUUCCUGAGUUCUUGACUCAAAGAAAUUGUAAGAAAUAAUAAAAUGACUAUAAUAGUUGACAUUAUGAAGUUUUGGGGUGAUAAGAUACGCAGCAACAGGUAGAGACCACACCAGGUGGAGAGUCAGACAAAGGCAACUUUAUUUGCAGCAAAUAAAGAAUCACGGGGAAUAACUUCCAAAGCUAUAACUUGCACUGCUGUGACUCCCUGAGCAAUGAUUUUUAUUUUUGUUUACUCAAGUAAUCUCUACACUCAACAUGGACCUCGAACUCACCAUCCUGAGGUUGAGUCUUAUGCCCUUCUGACUAAGCCAGCCAGGUGCCCUUGUCUAAAAUGUUUUCUAAGCAUCGGACUCCCUGCAGGCAGCCUGCUUCUCCCUCUGCCUGUGUCUUUGCCUCUCUCUGUGUCUCUCAUGAAUAAAUAAAUAAAAUCUUUAAAAAAAAAAGUUUUCUAAGCAAUUCACAGCUUCACACAACUCCUGCCUGUACAUUUCCUCAGGAUCCUAUUGGCUGCUGAAUUGUGUUGCCUCAAUCACAUUGAAAUCCCAACCCCCAGUAUGUUUGAAUGUGGCUGUAUUUAGAGAUAGGAUCUUUAAAGUGGUAAUAAAUGAAAAUGAGGAUAUUAGUGUGGGCUCUAUUUCAGUGUGACUGGUAUCAUUAUAAUUAGGACACAGAAAUGCACAGAGGGACAACCACAUGAGGACACAUCAAGCUGAGGGCUGUCUGUCUACAAGCCAAGGAGAGAGGCCUCUGAAGAAACCGCCCGUUAGCACCCUGAUCUUGGACUUCUGCCCUCAAAUAAAUGUGGGAAAUAAAUUUCCAUUGUUUAGCUCCCACAGUCCAUGGUCUUUGUUGUAAUAGCCUGAGUAGACUCGCAUGUAUUUUUGUCUUCUACCUUCCCCAUGGGUCACAGCUUUACCUCCCCAUUUCGGACUUUACCUCCUACCAGGCUCAGAGUGACUUCCU
Long non-coding RNA from Canis lupus familiaris (dog), 1979 nucleotides. RefSeq lists it as uncharacterized. The record is from RefSeq and is a predicted model, not a curated record. NCBI's taxonomy places the organism in Eukaryota, Metazoa, Chordata, Mammalia, Carnivora, Canidae. The transcript is spliced from 3 exons.